CCUACGGGAGGCAGCAGUGAGGAAUAUUGGUCAAUGGGCGCAAGCCUGAACCAGCCAAGUAGCGUGAAGGAUGACGGCCCUAUGGGUUGUAAACUUCUUUUAUAAGGGAAUAAAGUGCGGCACGUGUGCCUUUUUGUAUGUACUUUAUGAAUAAGGAUCGGCUAACUCCGUGCCAGCAGCCGCGGUAAUACGGAGGAUCCGAGCGUUAUCCGGAUUUAUUGGGUUGAAAGGGUGCGUAGGUGGGGUGUUAAGUCAGCUGUGAAAGUGUGCGGCUUAACCGUAGAAUUGCCGUUGAUACUGGCAGCCUUGAGUACAUUUGAGGUAGGCGGAAUUCGUGGUGUAGCGGUGAAAUGCUUAGAUAUCACGCAGAACUCCGAUUGCGAAGGCAGCCUACUAAGCUGCGACUGACGCUGAUGCUCGAAAGCGUGGGUAUCAAACAGGAUUAGAUACCCGAGUAGUC
Molecule: ribosomal RNA, 460 nt
Filed under: uncultured bacterium
Lineage: Bacteria
Description: partial 16S ribosomal RNA
Rfam family: Bacterial small subunit ribosomal RNA
Source: RNAcentral